AGCUUUGUGCAGUGGCAGUAUCAUAGUCAAUGAGGAUUAUCUGAUACCUCAUUAUCACUAAUUGAAAAACCUAAUUUUUAAAUAUUUAAACCUAAACAUAGACAUUAUUUUUGUUAUAAUGGUAGUCUU
RNAcentral lists this small nuclear RNA (129 nucleotides) under Fukomys damarensis (Damara mole-rat). RNAcentral describes it as "U4 spliceosomal RNA". It matches the Rfam family "U4 spliceosomal RNA". Rfam says of the family: U4 small nuclear RNA (U4 snRNA) is a component of the major U2-dependent spliceosome. The structure of U4 snRNA from yeast and human has been reported. The record is from Rfam by way of RNAcentral. Lineage: Eukaryota; Metazoa; Chordata; Mammalia; Rodentia; Bathyergidae.